Molecule: non-coding RNA, 108 nt
Organism: Gossypium arboreum
Lineage: Eukaryota; Viridiplantae; Streptophyta; Magnoliopsida; Malvales; Malvaceae
Source: Rfam
AAUCCAAGAUGAGGACACAUUCUCAACAGAUCCUUAAAUCUCUCUCAUGUAUAAUGAAAACAUCUCAAGAUCAAAUUAAGAAAAAGAAGAGAUGUCAUUCCUCAACUU